UACGAAGGGUGCAAACGUUGCUCGGAAUUAUUGGGCGUAAAGCGCACGUAGGCGGCUUAGCAAGUCGGAUGUGAAAUCCCUCGGCUCAACCAAGGAAGUGCUUUCGAAACUGCUGAGCUUGAGUACUAAAGAGGAUCGCGGAAUUCCCGGUGUAGAGGUGAAAUUCGUAGAUAUCGGGAGGAACACCAGUGGCGAAGGCGGCGAUCUGGGUAGAUACUGACGCUGAGGUGCGAAAGCGUGGGGAGCAAACAGG
This 253-nucleotide ribosomal RNA is filed under the name uncultured bacterium. Its description in RNAcentral is "partial 16S ribosomal RNA". It matches the Rfam family "Bacterial small subunit ribosomal RNA", at positions 524 to 776 of the family's 1533-position model. The record is from RNAcentral.